UUCUUAUUAUAUUAUUAUAAGUAAAAUCUGCUCAAUGACAUUUAAAUAGCCGCAGAAUUUUAACUGUGCUAAGGUAGCAUAAUCAUUUACCUUUUAAUUGGAGGUUUGUAUGAAAGAUUUUACAUUUAAAUUACUUUUUUGCUAAAUUAAAUUUAAAUUUUAUUAAAAAUAAAAAUAUUUUUAUAUAAAAAAAAGACGACAAGACCCUAUUGAACUUCACUUCAGUUAAGCUGGGGAAGCUAAUUAAAUAUUAUUUUAAUACACUACCUGACAUAAGUUUCUGGGACCCUCAAUUUGAACAAGUUACCAUAGGGAUAACAGCGUAAUAAUUUUUAAAAGCUCUUAUUUAAAAAAAUGUUUACGACCUCGAUGUUGAAUUAAAUUCACUUUAAAACGCAAUAGUAUUAAAAGUAGGUCUGUUCGACCUUUAAAUUUUUACAU
RNAcentral lists this ribosomal RNA (441 nucleotides) under Fusciphantes okiensis. Its description in RNAcentral is "partial 16S ribosomal RNA". The stretch from base 195 to 441 matches the Rfam family "Archaeal large subunit ribosomal RNA", at positions 2156 to 2670 of the family's 2987-position model. Lineage: Eukaryota; Metazoa; Arthropoda; Arachnida; Araneae; Linyphiidae. The record is from RNAcentral.